RNAcentral lists this ribosomal RNA (296 nucleotides) under uncultured Desulfobulbus sp. Its description in RNAcentral is "partial 16S ribosomal RNA". It matches the Rfam family "Bacterial small subunit ribosomal RNA", at positions 1091 to 1382 of the family's 1533-position model. Lineage: Bacteria; Pseudomonadati; Thermodesulfobacteriota; Desulfobulbia; Desulfobulbales; Desulfobulbaceae. The record is from RNAcentral.
AACGAGCGCCAACCCUUGCCUUUAGUUGCCAGCAGUUCGGACUGGGCGACUCUAAAGGGACUGCCGGUGUUAAACCGGAGGAAGGUGGGGAUGACGUCAAGUCCUCAUGGCCUUUAUGACCAGGGCUACACACGUACUACAAUGGCCGAUACAAAGGGCAGCGACACUGCGAGGUGAAGCCAAUCCCGUAAAAUCGGUCUCAGUCCGGAUUGGAGUCUGCAACUCGACUCCAUGAAGUUGGAAUCGCUAGUAAUCGUGGAUCCAGCCAUGCCAACGGUGAAUACGUUCCGGGCCUU